RNAcentral lists this ribosomal RNA (864 nucleotides) under Triticum aestivum (bread wheat). RNAcentral describes it as "partial small subunit ribosomal RNA". The record is from RNAcentral. Lineage: Eukaryota; Viridiplantae; Streptophyta; Magnoliopsida; Poales; Poaceae.
AUGGUUGGACAAAAACCUCCUGUUGGCACGAGAUGGAUUGUCACCGGCGACUUCAACCAAGUCUAUCGGGCCAGAGAUAAGAACCGUACAAAUGUCGAUCGCAGCCGCAUUGUCCGCUUCCGCAACGCCCUCAAUGCUUGUGAGCUAAAGGAAAUACACUUGCAGAAUAGGAAAUUCACAUGGAGCAAUCAACAAGUAAACCCGACCAUGAGCAAACUUGAUAGCUUCUUUUGCAAUGAAGAUUGGGUCAUUCAGUUUGGUUCCCACCUUCUCCACGCAUUGUCAUCUUCAUUGUCCGACCACUGUCCUCUACUCCUCGCUAGUGAUGUGGGGCCCUCCCGGCCAAAAUGCUUCCGCUUUGAAAACUUUUGGAUCAAGAUGCCUAACUUCAAGAAGAUUGUUCAAGAUGCUUGGAAUGAGAGAGUCCCCCAUGUCGAGCCAUGUCAAAUCCUCUUUCACAAGCUAAAAAGAGUUAGUCAACGCCUUCGCACUUGGAGCAAAAAGAUCUUCUCAAACCAUAAGGUCCAACUUCACAUGGCCCUUGACAUCAUUCUUAGAUUGGAUUUGGCCCAAGGAAGUAGAACAUUGAGCUCUGAGGAGAGGGACCUUCGAAGGAAGCUCAAAAGAAAGAUUGUGGCCCUUGCCGUUCUUGAGAGAGCUAGAAAGAGACAAAGCUCUAGGAGAAAGGCUAUCGCCUCCUUGUUCAUGCUCAUGUCUUGGGAGAUUUGGAAAGAGCGUAAUGGAAGGGUUCUCCGUAACAUCGCCGCUACGACGAUGAUGCUCAUCGCGAAGAUAAAAGAGGAGGCCCAUCUUUGGGCUAUUGCCGCUGCCACCCACUUGAGUAUUCUAAUGCCGCGAGAGUAG